CCAGUAUAUUUCUAGCAGAAGAAGAGAGAGUUGGCAGCCAAGAACGGAAAUUCAGAUAAGAGUUUAAAAUAGGGUUUUUGGAGGCAUCCACCCUUGGAUCGUUUUAACGCUUCUCCCCGCCCUCCCCUCCCCUCCCCUCCCCUCCCCUGUUUGUUUCACGCAGUUCAGCUGAGUUGAUAGUUGGGGGGUGGAUAACAUACAGAUAUCUCUGAUUCUAUUCCGUCCUCAUUUUCUAAACCCUCCCUCGCUUAUUUAAAUAAAUAAAUGUAACAAAUUCUCCAAAAAUAAAAUAAAAAUGGAGGUUCCUGUAUUGACGAGCUUUCACUCCGUUUCUCUCUCCUCCAAAACCGCCUUUUACAUGGAUCGCUGCAGCUUCUUUCGUAAGAGAUUGAAUUGCAAAAGACGUUGUCGUCUUCGAAUUAAAGUGAGCUCAGAGAAGGAUGAUGAUGAUGGUUCAUUGAGUUUUAAAAGCGACGCUGUUAAUUUUUGCGGGGGAGGACAAUCCGGCGAUUUAGUUGAUGUAAUAAGCAUUGGCAGCAGGAAGGACGCCGUUGUUGAUUUCUGUUUCGACUCGCCUUUACAGUUAUCGUCUUCGCUCCUCCGAUUUUGGAAUAUUCAGACCAAAGAUUCCGUGAAUGUUCAGUUGCAAGAAAGGGUUCUUGAAAAAGAUGUUAAUCCAAGGGUUAUGGAAGUUUCGCAAUUUCUAAAGUUCCCUUCAAAGGCCAUUGUCCUUGUGGCUAGUGCAGGAUAUGGCUUGGAACAUAUUACAGCAAUUGAUAUUCUUAAAACAAGGAGGUUUAGGAAUGGAUUUACUGUCGCUAUUUUUCUAAAGCCUUUCAGUUUUGAAGGACAAAGGCGCCAAGAUGAGGUGAAAGAUUUGGUAGGAAAGCUUCAAGAGUAUACAAAUUUCUGUAUUGAUAUUGACACUGAUGCACUCCUAAAAAAGGACUUGGUCACUCUAGAUGAGGCCUUGAAGUCUGCAAACAGUGCUGUUUUAUUGGCCAUAAAUGCCAUCUCUAUUCUUAUCUCGGAGAUGCACCAGAAAAUAAUUGAUGCAGUGCAUAAUAAUGUGAAAGAACUCAAAGUUUCAGAAGUUAUAAAAAUACUGGAGAGCUACAAAGAAGCAAAAAUUGGAUUUGGCACCGGUAACAGCAUUAGAAAUUCAAUUAUAAAGGCUCUAUAUGAUUGCCCUUUCAUUGGUGCUGGUGUUAAGGAAUUAAAUGGAAUUGUUAUAUGCAUCAUUGCAAGUUCAGUUCUUAUGGACGACAAAGAUGUACAUGCCUCUCUGCUUACUUUCCGACGAACAGCAAAUUACACGGGGGAAAUCAUUAUUUGUACAGCUCAUGAGCCUAAUCUGGAGCCCAACAUGCUGGUAACAACAGUUGUUAUUGUAGGCUGUAUUGAGCAGCAGGCUCCUCAGAAAAGUAGCAUAUUCUCCAAACUGGCCCAGCAUUUCCCUUUUGUUUUUAAACUUCUGAGGAUAUCCCACCAAAAACCUUGUGGCAACGAAGGAAGAGAUAUGGAAGAUGCACAGCUAUCGAAGGGGAUAGAUUCACCAGACUCUGGUUUGGUGGAAAAUAUAAGUUCUGCAGAAGGUUUAGUCAAUGGUGUUGACAAGCACUCCAAGGACUCCGAGAGGGUAUCAGGCAGUGAUUAUGUUGACAUUUAUAGUUCAAGGAAUUACAACAAUGGAGUUGAAGAAGAUGGGGUUGGCCUAUUAGAAGAAGAUAUGAUAGAGUCUUCAAAUUUUUACAAUCAAAACAUGGAAGAAACUCCUGCUUUCCAAAGGGAACCACUCAUUAGUAGGAAUAUGGGGCCAGGCUAUCAGAUUGCACAGGAGUGGGCCAAAGAAAGGGCUGGAGCCACUCCAGUGCUUGAUGACAUGAGCAUCUUCCAACUUCCAGUUGGUGUAAGACCUUCAGAAGAGUCGAAAGGCAGUCUGAACAUCUCAUAUGCCACAGAACUCUCAGAACCAAAAACCGAGGAUGAUUUCCAAGGACAGACACUUGUUAAUUCAAAUAUCCCUUCUUGGGGUGAUGCAGGUUUUGUAGCAGUGAGGGAUUUUUAUAAUAAUGCAUCCACACUGUUAAAGGGUAAAAAUCCUGAUGUGCUUAAAAAGCAAGGAAUUCUUUCUGCUCGUGCUGCAUCUAUGCUGGAAGCUGAGCGAGAUUCACCAAAGAAGUGGAGUCCUAUUAUGGAAAUGCAGUACAGGGGAGGCGUCUACAGGGGCCGGUGCCAAGGAGGUCUGCCAGAAGGGAAGGGCCGUCUGAUCCUUCAGGAUAGAAGCAUGUAUGAUGGCAUGUGGCGCUAUGGUAAGAGAUCAGGCCCAGGUACAUUCUACUUCAGCAAUGGGGAUGUAUUCCAGGGAUCAUGGAGGGAUGAUGUAAUGCAUGGCAAGGGCUGGUUUUAUUUUCAUACUGGGGAUCGAUGGUUUGCAAACUUUUGGAAGGGAAAGGCCAAUGGUGAAAGUCGCUUCUAUUCAAAGUUUGGUGAUGUAUUUUUUGGUCAUUUCCAAGAUGGAUGGCGACAUGGCCGCUUCCUUUGUAUUGAUGUUGAUGGAGCAAGGUAUGUUGAGACGUGGGAUGAGGGUGUUCUUGUAAGCCGUGAGCAAUUGGACUCCAGUAAUGGUGGUGGAUAAAGAUGAUGAUGUACUCUUAUAAUUUGAGUUAUACUUCCCGUUGAUUUAUUUUUUAGACUUGCAUGUAAAGCCGUUAUCUGUUUCACUAGGUUUAGAAGGUAUUCGAUAUGUUUGGAAGUUAUUUCCAGAACCUUGCUACAGAAACUCAGCUAUCCAGUGGUGUUCUUCAACGUCCCUCCCCAGCGGCAUGUUCACUAGAAGGUGUAGUUUGUAAAGCAGCUGUGCAUUGAUUUUGUUUUUCCAAUAGCCAUAUUGAUAAAUUCGAAAACAAUGAACAUCUUGUAGAAUGGUUAGUUAUAUAUUCAUCUUAAGAAGACAGCUGACUUCUUAUAAAGCAAGCAGAAAUUAUUCUUCU
Molecule: RNA transcript, 2993 nt
Organism: Populus euphratica (Euphrates poplar)
Lineage: Eukaryota; Viridiplantae; Streptophyta; Magnoliopsida; Malpighiales; Salicaceae
Gene: ARC3
Gene name: GTP binding protein
Exons: 17
Source: RefSeq, a predicted model, not a curated record